This 427-nucleotide ribosomal RNA is filed under the name uncultured bacterium. RNAcentral describes it as "bacterial SSU rRNA". It matches the Rfam family "Bacterial small subunit ribosomal RNA", at positions 355 to 796 of the family's 1533-position model. The record is from RNAcentral.
UCGAGAAUCUUCCGCAAUGGACGAAAGUCUGACGGAGCGACGCCGCGUGGAGGAUGAAGUGCUUCGGCAUGUAAACUCCUUUUGCCAGGGAAAAAGUUAUUGAUUGUACCUGGAGAAUAAGAGGUUGCUAAACUCGUGCCAGCAGCAGCGGUAAUACGAGUGCCUCGAGCGUUAUCCGGAAUCAUUGGGCGUAAAGGGUGUGUAGGCGGCGCUGUUAGUCUCGCGUAAAAUCUCCCGGCUCAACCGGGAACCCGCGCGGGAAACGGCAGUGCUUGAGGAUGGAAGGGGUCUCUGGAACUCAUGGUGUAGCGGUGAAAUGCGUUGAUAUCAUGGGGAACACCGAAAGCGAAGGCAAGAGACUGGUCCACUCCUGACGCUGAAACACGAAAGCGUGGGUCGCGAAUGGGAUUAGAUACCCCCGUAGUCC